This 253-nucleotide ribosomal RNA is filed under the name uncultured bacterium. RNAcentral's name for it is "partial 16S ribosomal RNA". It matches the Rfam family "Bacterial small subunit ribosomal RNA", at positions 524 to 776 of the family's 1533-position model. The record is from RNAcentral.
GACAGAGGGGGCAAGCGUUGCUCGGAAUCACUGGGCGUAAAGGGCGCGUAGGCGGGAUGGCAAGUCAGUCGUGAAAUCUCUCGGCUCAACCGAGAAACGUCGGCUGAUACUGCCGUUCUUGAGGGAUGCAGAGGAGACUGGAAUUCCCGGUGUAGCGGUGAAAUGUGUAGAGAUCGGGAGGAACACCGGUGGCGAAGGCGGCUUCCUGGCCCGUACCUGACGCUGAGGCGCGAAAGCGUGGGGAGCAAACAGG